CUCCGUAUAGCUCAGUCUGGUAGAGCAUAUUGUUUGGAACGAUAGGGUCCGGUGUUCAAAUCAUCGUACGGAGACCA
Molecule: transfer RNA, 77 nt
Filed under: Acinetobacter phage vB_AbaM_Berthold
Lineage: Duplodnaviria; Heunggongvirae; Uroviricota; Caudoviricetes; Pantevenvirales; Straboviridae
Description: Acinetobacter phage Berthold tRNA-Pro
Rfam family: tRNA
About the family: Transfer RNA (tRNA) molecules are approximately 80 nucleotides in length. Their secondary structure includes four short double-helical elements and three loops (D, anti-codon, and T loops).
Source: RNAcentral